GUGGUAUUAGAGGGUAGGUAGAUAUAGUACGUAUACUUGGGCUACCGAGGUUGUGUUCCUUUUCAUUCCCCCUCCGCCCUUUGUACCCUCUCCCGGACCGACUUUUUUCUUAAAUUACUUUUAGUGUUUGAAUUAUCUAUUGAUUCGGUAUGCAGUUAAAGACAAAGCAAUACAGGGAUAGCAAACAUUUGUUAAUAACAGUUGAAUAUUUUUUCUAAAUUCAAACUAACGGCACAUAGAUAUCAAAGAGUCACCAAUGGAAGUAUAUUUGGCAUAUUUUUUCUAAUUUUCUCAACACAAAGCUUUAAUUUAGAGAUGGCAUUACCGGUUUUACGGAGCCUGUUUUGAAUCACACACAGUUUUUCACUAUUCUAACGGACGGACUAAACACGGCUGUGACCAAAGAAAAAUAACUUUCUAAACAUCAAAGUCGGUGGCCAGUCAGCCGACACCACGGCAAGUCGGCGACGUACGUUAUCGAGAUCGUAUGUAUGUAUUGAACUGGGAGGCCGACAUCAUAAUACCGAAGGCGGCCAUUGGUCACUGGGCAUAAUCGGGUGUGUGUACGAAAAUACGACUGGAGAGACACUCUCGUUUAUUCUCGAAACCAGUCUGAAAUUUCAAA
Diachasma alloeum is the source of this 625-nucleotide long non-coding RNA. RefSeq lists it as uncharacterized. NCBI's taxonomy places the organism in Eukaryota, Metazoa, Arthropoda, Insecta, Hymenoptera, Braconidae. The record is from RefSeq and is a predicted model, not a curated record. The transcript is spliced from 3 exons.